GCGGGUAUAGUUCAGUGGUAGAAUGAUUCCUUCCCAAGGAAUAGAUAGGGGUCCGAUUCCCCUUACCCGCUCCA
Molecule: transfer RNA, 74 nt
Filed under: Candidatus Woesebacteria bacterium
Lineage: Bacteria; Candidatus Woeseibacteriota
Description: tRNA-Gly
Rfam family: tRNA
About the family: Transfer RNA (tRNA) molecules are approximately 80 nucleotides in length. Their secondary structure includes four short double-helical elements and three loops (D, anti-codon, and T loops). Further hydrogen bonds mediate the characteristic L-shaped molecular structure. tRNAs have two regions of fundamental functional importance: the anti-codon, which is responsible for specific mRNA codon recognition, and the 3' end, to which the tRNAs corresponding amino acid is attached (by aminoacyl-tRNA synthetases). tRNAs cope with the degeneracy of the genetic code in two manners: having more than one tRNA (with a specific anti-codon) for a particular amino acid; and 'wobble' base-pairing, i.e. permitting non-standard base-pairing at the 3rd anti-codon position.
Source: RNAcentral